RNAcentral lists this ribosomal RNA (618 nucleotides) under uncultured bacterium. RNAcentral's name for it is "bacterial SSU rRNA". It matches the Rfam family "Bacterial small subunit ribosomal RNA", at positions 28 to 670 of the family's 1533-position model. The record is from RNAcentral.
GAUGAACGCUGGCGGUGUGCUUUAAGCAUGCAAGUCGAGCGGAGUUAGUAGCAAUACUAACUCAGCGGCGGACGGGUGCGUAACACGUAGGAAUCUACCUCUUAAUGGGGAAUAGCUUGGCGAAAGUCGAGGUAAUACCGCAUAAGCCCGCAAGGGGAAAGCUACACAGCAAUGUGGGGCGUUGAGAGAAGAGCCUGCGGCCUAUCAGCUAGUUGGUGAGGUAACAGCUUACCAAGGCGAUGACGGGUAGGGGGCGUGAGAGCGCGACCCCCCACAAGGUCACUGAGACACGGGGCCUACAUCUACGGAUGGCAGCAACUGGGAAUCUUGCGCAAUGGACGAAAGUUUGACGCAGCGACACCGCGUGUGGGAUGAAGUAUUUCGGUAUGUAAACCACUGUGGCGAGGGAUGAACACUGACAGUACCUCGCUAGAAAGCAUCUGCUAACUACGUGCCAGAAGCCUCGGCAAUACGUGGGAUGCAAGCGUUAUCCGGAUUUACUGGGCGUAAAGGGUUUCGCAGGCGGAUGAUUAAGUCAAGUUUCAAAGCCCACGGCUCAACUGUGGAUCGGGAUUUGAUACUAGUCAUCUAGAGGACAUCAGGGGAGACCGGAAUUCU